AUGCAUGUGUUAGUACAAGCUUGUAUCAAGCGAAACUGCGGAUGGCUCAUUAAAUCAGUCAUGGUUCCUUGGAACGAGUUGCCCUACAUGGAUAACUGUGGUAAUUCUAGAGCUAAUACAUGCCACCAAGCGCCGACCUUACGGAAGGCGUGCUUUUAUUAGGAACAAGACCAACUCGCCUUGUGCGGCUUCGUUGGUGAACUCUGGAUAACUUAGCAGAUCGCACGGUCAUCGCACCGGCGACAGAUCCUUCAAACGUCUGCCCUAUCAACUUUCGAUGGUACGUUAUGCGCCUACCAUGGUCGUAACGGGUAACGGAGAAUCAGGGUUCGAUUCCGGAGAGGGAGCCUGAGAAAUGGCUACCACA
Molecule: ribosomal RNA, 367 nt
Filed under: Amphilepidida sp. USNM IZ 1448063
Lineage: Eukaryota; Metazoa; Echinodermata; Ophiuroidea; Amphilepidida
Description: SSU rRNA
Rfam family: Eukaryotic small subunit ribosomal RNA
Source: RNAcentral